UGAGGAAUAUUGCACAAUGGGCGGGAGCCUGAUGCAGCAACGCCGCGUGCGGGACGACGGCCUUCGGGUUGUAAACCGCUUUUCUGAGGGACGAGCGAGGACGGUACCUUAGGAAUAAGUCUCGGCUAACUACGUG
RNAcentral lists this ribosomal RNA (136 nucleotides) under uncultured Chloroflexota bacterium. RNAcentral's name for it is "uncultured Chloroflexi bacterium partial 16S rRNA". It matches the Rfam family "Bacterial small subunit ribosomal RNA", at positions 355 to 507 of the family's 1533-position model. The record is from RNAcentral. Lineage: Bacteria; Bacillati; Chloroflexota.